Molecule: ribosomal RNA, 229 nt
Filed under: uncultured bacterium
Lineage: Bacteria
Description: partial 16S ribosomal RNA
Rfam family: Bacterial small subunit ribosomal RNA
Source: RNAcentral
CGCGUAGGUGGGUUAGCCAGUCAGAUGUGAAAGCCCGGAGCUCAACUCCGGAACGGCAUUUGAAACUACUAGCCUUGAGGAUAGGCGGAGAAGACGGAAUUCCACGUGUAGCGGUGAAAUGCGUAGAUAUGUGGAAGAACACCGGUGGCGAAGGCGGUCUUCUAGCUUAUUCCUGACACUGAGGCGCGAAAGCAAGGGGAGCGAACAGGAUUAGAUACCCUGGUAGUCC